AGGAGUGGAGAAAGGUUGCGCUGAAGUGGGUAGUAGUUUGAGGGAGUGAUUGACCCGCCACUGGGGAAGGCAACACCCUUAGGAUCCGGAUUCGCCGGCUGCCAGGCGCACAGACAAACUGUGGUGCAAAGUGGGAGCAGACUACCCAAGGGUAUGAACAGCAAGAGUCUGGAUGAGUGGGGAUCACCUUGGAGGCUGGGACCACCUUGGAAGCUGGCUACCAAAAAUUCAGCUUGCCAGUCCUGACCAUGCCUUGACUGACCUCCACCGAAUCUUCCAGAUCUUGAGAGCUUCCUGGACUUUCACCUGCUUCCAAAUUCCUCUGAUGCUCUUGGAAAUUUGGCUAGUUCAAUGUAUACUCAUUCAUUCAGAAUAAAUGUACCAAAGCUGGAAGAGAAGAAAAAACACAUGAUGAAAAGUAUAGUAACUGUCCUGAUGAAAUUAUAUAUAAGGAAGUCAGCAAUUGGAUGAAAAGACUAUUUCCCAGUAUCCAGAUAUUUUCUAAGAAUGACUAGCUAACAACAUUGUUUCUUUUGUUUUUGGCCACCAUUCUCUAGUUUAUCACUGACCUAAUCAAGUCAACAUCACUGGGGCUGGGAAUAGACUCCAAGUACAUGAAAACAAUGAGAUUAGAAACACAUCUCAGUCUUCUAUAAUGUAGAGAUAGCAGAGACAAAGUAUCAAUACAUUCAGCCUGGGAAAUAUUAGUAAGAACAAAAUCACAGAGAACAGUUUGGGAAUACAUAAAGAAACCUUGGAAGCUCCCAACUUCCAAUAAUCUUACAGUUUUCAAUUUAUACAUUAUCUUCUCAGAGUACUAUAAUUUAUAAUUGAUUCUGGCCUCACAUGUGGAAAGACAACAGAUUUGAAAGUUUAUGUGUGACUUUCCUUCAAUAUCUAAACCAAUGACUAAAUAUUACAACCAUUCAAGGCAAUGCAUAUAUUUAUUAACAUAAUUGUAUUGCCCAAGAGUACAACAUGUUAUUUUCCACAUGUCACUUUCUAUUUGACAAUAAUAUCUGAUUUACUCAGUGGUCAAUCUUCUGUUCAUUUCAACAUUUGUAAUAAUCUGAGAACUGAGAGCAAACAGGAAUGUUCAGAUCCAUUGAAAUACCUGGUGUUUUAAGAUUCAUGCAUCUUGUCUAUUGGCUAGAUCCUCAAUUCAAUAUUUUAUGUGAUGAAUGCACAUUUUCAACAAGCUUGUUAUUUCAUUUCUCUGUCCACAUCAAAGUGGAUGGGGAAGAACUGAAAGAUUUGUUUGAGAAUCUAUGCAUUCAUUCCAUAAACAUUUUUAAAAGAACCUGUGUGUUCAACCCUGCACUGACAAACUAAAAUGUUAUAUAAUAAUUAAAUAAUAGCCAUAGAAGAGACAAAAAAGUAACCAUACUAAAGCCAAGCAUAAAAUUGGUGAUCAUGAAAAUGACUCUAAAUUGUUAUAAUAACAUCUAAAUUAUGCUUACAAUUCUUUGUGUGUGAAAGCAAGUAGGAAGCGUGUUUGUUUUAGUAGGACAUUUUAAAUAUUAUCUUCAUUUUCUAGGACUGUAACUUAAAAUACAUAUUGUUGAAAAUGUAAUCUUUAAUACUUAAUUUAUUUUAUAACGUUCAUUUACUGAAGCAGAUUUCACAACAGCAGCAGGUGUACAAUGAUAUUAACGGGCAGUGCCUCACUGUUUCUUUAGAAACUUCUAGAAUUUAUUCUCAUAAAAAUAAUUAUCUCCAAAGGCCAGUAGAGAAAUUUAAUAAGCUUGAGAUUAAUUAUGAUUACAUUAUGUCUCAGAAAAUGGACAUUGUGUAAUAAGGUACAGCUAGAUUCCCUGGAGAAACCACAGCGGUUAUUUCCAAUUGGCUAUUUCUAUUAGAUACAGGAAUAGCACCAAGAAGCUUUGAAAAUUUAAUAAUCUCUGUCCUCCCUAGAGGACUCAAUCAGUAGAUUGAAAUGAAAUGUUAUGUUGUAUUUCAAAAUAGAAUAUUCUGAAUUAUGUACACAAAUUAAUAUUAGUGGUCAUUCAGAAAAGUAAUCAAACAUUGCACCUGUGAAACUAGCCAUACAGAAUGGCAUGAGUUCAUAAGUUCAAGGGCUUCAUAAAAUAUUGCUGUGGGCAAGUAAGCAUUUAAAUCAAAAUUGAAAAUACAAGCCUCAGGUCUAUAGCUUAAUGUAUUUUCUGGUCUAAGUUGCAUAUGUAUUAUCAUAUUUUGUGCUUAUAUAAAAUGCAACAGUUUUCAAAAAUAAACACAAAUGGCCACCACCAGUCAAAUUAGUAACAUCCCAGUGAAAUUCAGUUUGGCUAAAAACCAAAAUUGGCAGUCUCAUGCCUGAUCUUCUAAAGAUGAUCUUUCUUUUUUAUGCCAUAUAUUUAUUAUUUUAACCUAACAACACACCUCAAUGCUAGUCAUCACCAAAACAGCUAUACAUGACCAUCCAUAUUUUGAAAUGUAAAGUUGACAAUUAUUUUAUAUUUUACUUGCUGACAUACUGAUUUCUAGGCUUUCCCCAGGAAUGGUGAUUUUGAAUCAAUAAUCAUACAUUAUUAUUGUUAUGUUUCUAUAAAACAGACUGUUAAUUCUUCUUAGCGUUCUAUUAUAUGUAAUUAGAGUUAAAGUGCAAAUGAAAUAAAAAUAAAAAUUCGACCUGGUAUUUGGUUCAUCCAUUUGCAAAGUAAUUGAAUAAAAUGAAAACUUGCCAUCUGUUCUAUGUAUUCAAAAUCCAUGUGUUUGUAACAUGGUAGCCUUUCCAGAGGAAAUAUAUUAAGAUCAUUUUUGACGGCAUGUUUCAAAAUAUUGUGGACUCUCACCAACUUAAUGGAUUUGAUUCUUGAUACGUAUCCAUUUUUCUUUCCAUUCCUUAUGUUUAUAUUACAAAUCUAUGUAGGUAUUUUAAAUAAUGAAAAUAACUUUUACCCUAUUUUCUUGAAUGCUCAGGAAAAAUUAAAAAAAAAAAAUCUGCUCCCUAGGCACAGUCACUGAAAUCUCCAAAGAAUGAGUCUUUAGAUGUAUUACAAUUGGGAAAAAUAGAGCUCUUUAAAUAGUAAUAUUGUAUAAAAUCACCAGAUGGCAACUCCUAGUCCCUAUAGACGAUUUCUCUUCUCCUGGUAGACGAAACACUUAAGAGAACAAAAUAAAUUAUUCUGUACCAAAAAGGAGCUGUUUCCAAGUACUAACAUUAUUUUUGUAUCAUCCUUUCCACACUUGUUAGUUUCUUUCUUUCAUUUUUACUGAUAUUAACAAAAAGAAUAUUUAUUGGGGCGCCUGGGUGGCUCAGUGGGUUAAGCCGCUGCCUUCGGCUCAGGUCAUGAUCUCAGGGUCCUGGGAUCGAGUCCCACAUCGGGCUCUCUGCUCAGCGGGAAGCCUGC
Long non-coding RNA from Mustela lutreola (European mink), 3350 nucleotides. RefSeq lists it as uncharacterized. The record is from RefSeq and is a predicted model, not a curated record. Lineage: Eukaryota; Metazoa; Chordata; Mammalia; Carnivora; Mustelidae. The transcript has 4 exons.